AAAGACUAGAACAAAAGAUUUAACAUUUAAAUUUAUUUAUUAAUUCUAAUAAUUACAAUUUUUUUAUAUGUAAAAAAACAUAUAUUAAAAAAAAAGACGACAAGACCCUAUUGAACUUAACUUUAGUUACACUGGGGCAGUAAAUUAAUUAUUAUUUUAAUAUAUAUAUAUAAAUAUAUAUCUAAUUGUAUUAAUUAAAUCAGUUACCAUAGGGAUAACAGCGCAAUUAUAUUUUAAAGUUCUUAUUAAAAAUAUAGAUUACGACCUCGAUGUUGAAUUAAUAACCUAAUUAAAGCAAAUUUUAAAUAAAGGAAGUCUGUUCGACUUUUAAAAAAUUACAUGAUUUGAGUUCAGACCGGUAUAAGCCAGGUCGGUUUCUAUCUUUUUCAAAAAUCUUUACAGUACGAAAGGACCUAAAAAUAUAAUUAAAUUAAUUUAUUAGCAAAUAAAUGCAUUAGAAUUAGAAUCUAAUAAAACUAAAA
Molecule: ribosomal RNA, 482 nt
Filed under: Omoedus meyeri
Lineage: Eukaryota; Metazoa; Arthropoda; Arachnida; Araneae; Salticidae
Description: partial 16S ribosomal RNA
Rfam family: Bacterial large subunit ribosomal RNA (bases 91-386)
Source: RNAcentral